GAGAGAUAUACCCCUCUUACGGGGUUAUUUUGUAAUAUUGACUAAUAUACCACCAGGAGUGGAGCCUGCGGCUUAAUUUGUCUCAACACGGGAAAACUUUCUAGGUCCAGACGUAGUAAGGAUUGACAGAUUGAAAGCUCUUUCUUGAUUCUAUGGUUGGUGGUGCAUGGCCAUUCUUAGUUGGUGGAGCAAUUUGUCUAGUUAAUUCUGUUCAGGAACGAGAGCUCAACCUGCUAACUAGUUUUGCGAAGGUAUCCCUCCGCGGCCAGCUUCUUAGAGGGACUAUGGCCUUCUAGGCCAAGGAAGUUUGGGCCGCACGCGCGCUACACAGAUGUAUUCAACGAGUCUAUAGCCUUGGCCAACAGGCCCGGGUAAUCUUUGAAAUUUCAUCGUGAUGGGGAUAGAUCAUUGCAAUUGUUGGUCUUCAACGAGGAAUUCCUAGUAAGCGCGAGUCAUCAGCUCGCGUUGACUACGUCCCUGCCUUUUGUGCACACCGCCCGUCGCUCCUACCGAUUGAAUGGUCUAGUGAGGUGUUCGGAUCGCGGCGACGUGGGCGGUUCUCCGCCGGUGACGUCGUGAGAAGUCCACUGAACCUUAUCAUUUAGAGGAAGGAGAAAUCAUAACAAGGUUUAUGUAGGUGAACCUGCGGAAG
Molecule: non-coding RNA, 652 nt
Filed under: Ricinus communis (castor bean)
Lineage: Eukaryota; Viridiplantae; Streptophyta; Magnoliopsida; Malpighiales; Euphorbiaceae
Description: Eukaryotic small subunit ribosomal RNA
Rfam family: Eukaryotic small subunit ribosomal RNA
Source: Rfam by way of RNAcentral